This is an unclassified non-coding RNA of Prolemur simus (greater bamboo lemur), 115 nucleotides long. It matches the Rfam family "Y RNA". From Rfam's summary of the family: Y RNAs are components of the Ro ribonucleoprotein particle (Ro RNP), in association with Ro60 and La proteins. The Y RNAs and Ro60 and La proteins are well conserved, but the function of the Ro RNP is not known. NCBI's taxonomy places the organism in Eukaryota, Metazoa, Chordata, Mammalia, Primates, Lemuridae. The record is from Ensembl.
GGCUGGUCCGAAGGUAAUGGAGUUAUCUCACUUGAUUGUUCACAGUCAGUUACAGAUUGAACUCCUUGUUCUACUACUUUCCCCCCUCCUCACUACUGCACUUGACUAGUCUAAA